UACGGAGGGUGCGAGCGUUGUCCGGAAUCACUGGGCGUAAAGGGCGCGUAGGCGGUGUGUCACGUCGGCCGUGAAAACCUGCAGCUUAACUGUGGGCGUGCGGUCGAUACGGGCAUCACUGGAGUUCGGCAGGGGAGACUGGAAUUCCUGGUGUAGCGGUGAAAUGCGCAGAUAUCAGGAGGAACACCGGUGGCGAAGGCGGGUCUCUGGGCCGAUACUGACGCUGAGGAGCGAAAGCGUGGGGAGCGAACAGG
RNAcentral lists this ribosomal RNA (254 nucleotides) under uncultured bacterium. RNAcentral's name for it is "partial 16S ribosomal RNA". It matches the Rfam family "Bacterial small subunit ribosomal RNA", at positions 524 to 776 of the family's 1533-position model. The record is from RNAcentral.